GGAUUCCUCUGGAGACGGAUUUCGGAAUUGGGACAGUGGCUGCCCCUACCCCCUCUAAGUGGCCGCCUCAUCCGGAGGAAAAGACUUUAUUACUUGCAAGUAAGGAGAACGCUGAAGAUCCCUCCUAAAGCAGUGUCUGGUUAAACUUCCAGAAGCAUCAGUUUUACUUGAAUAUUUGGAGGGAAAUUUUUUAAAAUCUAAUUUAAAUUUAAAACAUGAUUUUUAAAAUA
Long non-coding RNA from Galeopterus variegatus (Sunda flying lemur), 230 nucleotides. RefSeq lists it as uncharacterized. The record is from RefSeq and is a predicted model, not a curated record. The transcript has 2 exons. NCBI's taxonomy places the organism in Eukaryota, Metazoa, Chordata, Mammalia, Dermoptera, Cynocephalidae.